RNAcentral lists this ribosomal RNA (390 nucleotides) under Baptozius vinosus. RNAcentral describes it as "partial 12S ribosomal RNA". Lineage: Eukaryota; Metazoa; Arthropoda; Malacostraca; Decapoda; Oziidae. The record is from RNAcentral.
GAUACCCUACUAUACUAAGAAGGUGUGUAUAACUCGAAUUAUUAAUAGUUAUGUUCUUGAAAUUUAAAGAAUUUGGCGGUGAUCUAGUCUUGUCAGAGGAACCUGUUUUUGAAUCGAUAAACCACGUAGAAUCUUACUCACUUUUGUUAAAGGUAAAUAUACUUGCAGCUUAUAUACCAUCAUUAACAGACAAUUUUAAAAGAAAUAAUUGUUAAGAUUUAUAAAUUAAAUAAAAUUAGAUCAAGGUGUAGCUUAUAAGUGAGUUAAAAUGGGUUACAAUAAAAUUUAUUUAUAACGGAGUAGCCAGGGGAAGACUUUGGUUUGAAGGAGGAUUUGAUUGUAUUGUAAAUUUAAUAUGCUUGUAAGGUAAAAGCUCUAGAUCAUGUACAU